GACGAACGCUGGCGGCGUGCCUAAUACAUGCAAGUAGAACGCUGAAGGAGGAGCUUGCUUCUUUGGAUGAGUUGCGAACGGGUGAGUAACGCGUAGGUAACCUGCCUGGUAGCGGGGGAUAACUAUUGGAAACGAUAGCUAAUACCGCAUAACAUUGACUAUUGCAUGAUAGUCAGUUAAAAGGUGCAAUUGCACCACUACCAGAUGGACCUGCGUUGUAUUAGCUAGUUGGUGGGGUAACGGCUCACCAAGGCGACGAUACAUAGCCGACCUGAGAGGGUGAUCGGCCACACUGGGACUGAGACACGGCCCAGACUCCUACGGGAGGCAGCAGUAGGGAAUCUUCGGCAAUGGACGGAAGUCUGACCGAGCAACGCCGCGUGAGUGAAGAAGGUUUUCGGAUCGUAAAGCUCUGUUGUAAGAGAAGAAACGAGUGUGAGAGUGGAAAAGUUCACCACUGUG
This 462-nucleotide ribosomal RNA is filed under the name Streptococcus cristatus. RNAcentral describes it as "bacterial SSU rRNA". It matches the Rfam family "Bacterial small subunit ribosomal RNA", at positions 28 to 477 of the family's 1533-position model. Lineage: Bacteria; Bacillati; Bacillota; Bacilli; Lactobacillales; Streptococcaceae. The record is from RNAcentral.